RNAcentral lists this ribosomal RNA (465 nucleotides) under uncultured bacterium. RNAcentral describes it as "bacterial SSU rRNA". It matches the Rfam family "Bacterial small subunit ribosomal RNA", at positions 30 to 490 of the family's 1533-position model. The record is from RNAcentral.
AUUGAACGCUGGCGGCAUGCCUUACACAUGCAAGUCGAACGGCAGCACGGGAGCAAUCCUGGUGGCGAGUGGCGAACGGGUGAGUAAUAUAUCGGAACGUGCCCAGUCGUGGGGAUAACGUAGCGAAAGCUACGCUAAUACCGCAUACGAUCUACGGAUGAAAGCGGGGGAUCGCAAGACCUCGCGCGAUUGGAGCGGCCGAUAUCAGAUUAGGUAGUUGGUGAGGUAAAGGCUCACCAAGCCGACGAUCUGUAGCUGGUCUGAGAGGACGACCAGCCACACUGGGACUGAGACACGGCCCAGACUCCUACGGGAGGCAGCAGUGGGGAAUUUUGGACAAUGGGCGCAAGCCUGAUCCAGCAAUGCCGCGUGCAGGAUGAAGGCCCUCGGGUUGUAAACUGCUUUUGUACGGAACGAAAGGUUUCUCUUAAUACGAGGAGCUCAUGACGGUACCGUAAGAAUAAG